UACAGAGGCCUCGAGCGUUAGGCGGAAUCACUGGGCUUAAAGCGUGUGUAGGCGGAUUGGUAAGUACCUUGUGAAAUCCCACAGCUUAACUGUGGAACUGCUCGGUAUACUGCUGAUCUUGAGCCACUCAGGGGCUACCGGAACAAAUGGUGGAGCGGUGAAAUGCGUAGAUAUCAGGAGGAACACCGAUGGCGAAGGCAGGUCUCUGGGCAUUAACUGACGCUGAGGAGCGAAAGCAUGGGGAGCGAACAGG
This 253-nucleotide ribosomal RNA is filed under the name uncultured bacterium. Its description in RNAcentral is "partial 16S ribosomal RNA". It matches the Rfam family "Bacterial small subunit ribosomal RNA", at positions 524 to 776 of the family's 1533-position model. The record is from RNAcentral.